RNAcentral lists this non-coding RNA (88 nucleotides) under Wolbachia endosymbiont of Armadillidium vulgare. The record is from RNAcentral. Lineage: Bacteria; Pseudomonadati; Pseudomonadota; Alphaproteobacteria; Rickettsiales; Anaplasmataceae.
UCGAGCCGUAUGAAGGGAAACUUUCAAGUACGGUUCCUAGAGGAGAGUUUAGUGGAAAAUAUCUCAGUCCACUAAACUCUUACUCGUU